Molecule: ribosomal RNA, 427 nt
Filed under: uncultured bacterium
Lineage: Bacteria
Description: partial 16S ribosomal RNA
Rfam family: Bacterial small subunit ribosomal RNA
Source: RNAcentral
GUGGGGAAUAUUGCGCAAUGGGGGAAACCCUGACGCAGCAAUACCGCGUGAGUGAAGAAGGUUUUCGGAUCGUAAAACUCUUUUAUUGGGGAAGAAGAAGUGACGGUACCCAAUGAAGAAGUCCCGGCUAACUACGUGCCAGCAGCCGCGGUAAUACGUAGGGGACAAGCGUUGUCCGGAAUCACUGGGCGUAAAGGGCGCGUAGGCGGUUUUAUAAGUCAGAUGUGAAAGGUACCGGCUCAACCGGUGACGUGCAUUUGAAACUGUAAGACUUGAGUACUGGAGAGUCAAGUGGAAUGCCUAGUGUAGCGGUGAAAUGCGUAGAUAUUAGGAGGAACACCGGUGGCGAAGGCGGCUUGCUGGACAGAUACUGACGCUGAGGUGCGAAAGCGUGGGGAGCGAACAGGAUUAGAAACCCGUGUAGUCC